Molecule: ribosomal RNA, 339 nt
Filed under: uncultured Acholeplasma sp.
Lineage: Bacteria; Bacillati; Mycoplasmatota; Mollicutes; Acholeplasmatales; Acholeplasmataceae
Description: bacterial SSU rRNA
Rfam family: Bacterial small subunit ribosomal RNA
Source: RNAcentral
GGCAUGGUUGUCGUCAGCUCGUGUCGUGAGAUGUUGGGUUAAGUCCCGCAACGAGCGCAACCCUUAUUGCUAGUUACCAUCAUUGAGUUGGGGACUCUAGCGAGACUGCCAGUGAUAAACUGGAGGAAGGUGGGGAUGACGUCAAAUCAUCAUGCCCCUUAUGACCUGGGCUACAAACGUGAUACAAUGGCUGAAACAGAGGGAGGCGAAGGGGUGACCUGGAGCGAAACCCAGAAAAACAGUCUCAGUUCGGAUUGAAGUCUGCAACUCGACUUCAUGAAGUCGGAAUCGCUAGUAAUCGCGGAUCAGAACGCCGCGGUGAAUACGUUCUCGGGGUUU